This 440-nucleotide ribosomal RNA is filed under the name uncultured bacterium. RNAcentral describes it as "partial 16S ribosomal RNA". It matches the Rfam family "Bacterial small subunit ribosomal RNA", at positions 338 to 795 of the family's 1533-position model. The record is from RNAcentral.
CCUACGGGUGGCAGCAGUAGGGAAUAUUGCUCAAUGGGGGAAACCCUGAAGCAGCAACGCCGCGUGGAGGAUGAAGGUUUUCGGAUUGUAAACUGCUGUUGUUAGAGAAGAUAAUGACGGUAUCUAACGAAUAAGCACCGGCUAACUCCGUGCCAGCAGCCGUGGUAAUACGGAGGGUGAAAGCGUUACGCGGAAUCACUGGGCGGAAAGGGCGCGGAGGCGGGAUAGCAAGUCAGAUGUGAAAUCCUAUGGCUUAACCAUAGAAUUGCAUUUGAAACUGUUAUUCUAGAGUAUGGGAGAGGUAGGUGGAAUUCUAGGUGAAGGGGUGAAAUCCGUAGAGAUCAAGAGGAAUACUCAUUGCGAAGGCGACCUGCUAGAACAUAACUGACGCUGAUGCGCGAAAGCGUGGGGAGCAAACAGGAUUAGAUACCCGAGUAGUC